RNAcentral lists this small nucleolar RNA (77 nucleotides) under Gossypium arboreum. RNAcentral describes it as "Small nucleolar RNA R12". It matches the Rfam family "Small nucleolar RNA R12". From Rfam's summary of the family: snoR12 is a C/D box small nucleolar RNA, which acts as a methylation guide for 25S ribosomal RNA in plants. snoR12 has been alternatively named snoZ44 in Arabidopsis and snoZ131 in rice. The record is from Rfam by way of RNAcentral. Lineage: Eukaryota; Viridiplantae; Streptophyta; Magnoliopsida; Malvales; Malvaceae. RNAcentral also lists the same sequence under 12 other names.
AGGAGGAUGAUGAAAACAAUCAGACGGAUUCCCAUUGAUUUUUUCUAUGAGAACAUAACCAGCUACUUCUGACUCUU